Molecule: ribosomal RNA, 319 nt
Filed under: uncultured Clostridium sp.
Lineage: Bacteria; Bacillati; Bacillota; Clostridia; Eubacteriales; Clostridiaceae
Description: partial 16S ribosomal RNA
Source: RNAcentral
GGAGUCUGGGCCGUGUCUCAGUCCCAAUGUGGCCGUCCGCCCUCUCAGGCCGGCUACCGAUCGUCGCUUUGGUGGGCUUUUACCCCGCCAACUGGCUAAUCGGACGCGGACCCAUCCCAUACCGAUAUCUCUUUUCACACUAGGAGAUGUCUCCCCGUGCGCUUAUGCGGUAUUAUCAGUCGUUUCCGGCUGUUAUUCCCCACUGAAGGGCAGGUUCCUCACGCGUUACUCACCCGUCCGCCACUAAGCUUCAAAGAAAGCAAGCUUCCUUUUGGCUUCGUUCGACUUGCAUGUGUUAAGCACGCCGCCAGCGUUCAUC